GGGAAGGGAAGGUUAUAACCACACUUUAGUAUGCAUUAAUUUUGUUAUUUUAGUCAACAGGAAAGUUAAUAGGAAGGGAGAAUACAAAUUCUGACCUGUAUAGAGUGAAAGGAAAAUAGUUAAGUACAGUUACCUGCAUUCAAAAGGUAGUUUAAUAGAGGGCAUUGGGGACAAUAGCUGUUUUUCCACAGUCACAGGGUGACAUAAAAACAUCUUGGGGCCAAGAAAAAAGCCUAAAGUGAGUGAGAGAAGCAUGUAAAUGAUGAGUAGAAUCCCUAUGCAUACUUUCUGCCUACGUCACAAUUUCCUCAGAUGAGAAAACAAAGGCAUGAAGGAAUUUGGUGACUUGUCCAAGGCCAUGGUGUAAGUAAAUGACCUAACCAUGAUACCUGGGCUCUCAAGAGUUAAAGUGACAUCUGUAGGCAUUUAAAGCCGACUGAU
RNAcentral lists this long non-coding RNA (441 nucleotides) under Pan troglodytes (chimpanzee). Its description in RNAcentral is "long non-coding RNA NONPTRT000397". The record is from RNAcentral. Lineage: Eukaryota; Metazoa; Chordata; Mammalia; Primates; Hominidae.